CGCGUAGGCGGCCCGGAAAGUGGGGUGUGAAAACCCGAGGCUCAACCUCGGGCGUGCAUUCCAAACUCCCGGGCUCGAGGCAGGUAGGGGAGAUCGGAAUUCCUGGUGUAGCGGUGAAAUGCGCAGAUAUCAGGAGGAACACCGGUGGCGAAGGCGGAUCUCUGGGCCUGAUCUGACGCUGAGGCGCGAAAGCUAGGGGAGCGAACA
Molecule: ribosomal RNA, 207 nt
Filed under: uncultured bacterium
Lineage: Bacteria
Description: partial 16S ribosomal RNA
Rfam family: Bacterial small subunit ribosomal RNA
Source: RNAcentral